AUGAGAUUUCCCAACUUCGGUUAGAAGUUCCCUCGAAGAUGACGAGGUUAAUAGGUUCGAGGUGGAAGCGUGGUGACACGUGGAGCUGACGAAUACUAAUCGAUCGAAGACUUAAUCAAUUU
This 122-nucleotide ribosomal RNA is filed under the name Staphylococcus epidermidis. Its description in RNAcentral is "partial 23S ribosomal RNA". It matches the Rfam family "Bacterial large subunit ribosomal RNA", at positions 2804 to 2925 of the family's 2925-position model. The record is from RNAcentral. Lineage: Bacteria; Bacillati; Bacillota; Bacilli; Caryophanales; Staphylococcaceae.